AUGAGCGACAAUCUCAUGGACAAAGUUAACGCCUUGGGCGAGCGCCUCAAGAUCAGUGGCGCGGAAGUUAGCCGCAAGAUGUCCACCGGCGUCACUAGCAUGAGUUUCAAGAUGAAGGAGUUUUUCCAAGGCCAGAACAUGGCCGACAAGAUUGUUGACGAAGCCACCUUGGAGACCAUGGACGGCCCUGAUUGGGCUACCAAUCUUGAGAUAUGCGAUAUGGCCAACACCGAGAGGGUCAACAGCGUCGAGCUCAUCCGCGCCAUAAAGAGGCGAAUCAUGCUGAAGAGCCCGAGGGUGCAGUAUCUGGCUCUUGUCCUCCUCGAGACCAUUGUCAAAAACUGCGAGAAGGCCUUCUCCGAGAUUGCUGCGGAGCGGGUCCUUGAUGAAAUGGUGAAGCUUAUUGAUGACCCACAGACUAUAGUCAACAACAGAAACAAGGCGCUCAUGCUUAUUGAAGCAUGGGGAGAGUCAGGAGAGGAACUCCGCUACCUUCCCGUGUAUGAAGAAACUUACAAGAGCUUAAGAUCUAGGGGAAUUCGCUUCCCUGGCCGCGAUGAUGAGAGCCUUGCGCCAAUAUUUACUCCUCCCCGUUCAGUACCUGCAGCUGAACCAUAUUCUGAUGCAGCACAGGACGGGUACCAAGAAAUUCCAGAUGAAAGUUUUGCUCCAGUUCGUGCUGCCCCUUCUGUACAAGUCGACGAUGCUUUUGAGGUGGCUCGUAAUAGCGUUGAACUUCUUUCCACAGUGCUAUCAUCAUCUCCACAAAAAGAGGCUCUAGAGGAUGACUUGACUACCACCCUGGUCCAGCAAUGCCAACAGUGUCAAUACACAAUCCAGAGAAUCGUCGAGACUGCAGGUGAUAACGAGGCUCAACUCUUUGAGGCACUGAGCAUCCACGAUGAACUCCAGAAAGUUCUGUCCAAGUACGAAGACCUCAAGGAACCCAUCGUCGCAGAGCCUGAGCCAGAACCAGCAAUGAUUCCAGUCACGGUGGAGCCUGAGGAAUCCCCACGCGCUGUUGGCAAAGACACCCCCGCGAGGAAAUCAGCUGGGUCCGGUGGCCGCUCUAGCGGCGGGGAUGACUUGCUUCAGGAUCUCGACGACAUGAUCUUCGGUAAGAAAGCCGGCACCUCCUCCCAGCAGGAAAGAACUCCCCGGAAGGAGCAGAAGGACGACUUCAUCGGCUUAUGA
RNAcentral lists this ribosomal RNA (1194 nucleotides) under Triticum aestivum (bread wheat). RNAcentral describes it as "partial small subunit ribosomal RNA". The record is from RNAcentral. Lineage: Eukaryota; Viridiplantae; Streptophyta; Magnoliopsida; Poales; Poaceae.